RNAcentral lists this ribosomal RNA (440 nucleotides) under uncultured bacterium. RNAcentral's name for it is "partial 16S ribosomal RNA". It matches the Rfam family "Bacterial small subunit ribosomal RNA", at positions 338 to 795 of the family's 1533-position model. The record is from RNAcentral.
CCUACGGGAUGCAGCAGUGGGGAAUAUUGCACAAUGGUGGAAACCCUGAUGCAGCGACGCCGCGUGAGUGAAGAAGUUAUUCGGUAUGUAAAGCUCUAUCAGCAGGGAAGAAAAAAGACGGUACCUGACUCAGAAGCCCCGACUAACUACGUGCCAGCAGCCGCGGUAAUACGUAGGGGCCAAGCGUUAUCCGGGUGUACUGGGUGUAAAGGGAGCGUAGACGGUUGUGGAAGGCUGAAGUGAAAGCCCAGGGCUCAACCCUGGGACUGCUUUGGAAACGGUGGAGCUAGUGUGCUGGGGAGGUAAGUGGAAGUCCGAGGGUAGCGGUGAAAUGCGUAGAUAUGAGGAGGAAUACCAGUGGCGAAGGCGGCUUACUGGACAGUAACUGAGGUUGAGGCUCGAAAGCGUGGGGAGCAAACAGGAUUAGAAACCCCGUAGUC